AUUGAACGCUGGCGGCAGGCCUAACACAUGCGAGUCGAGCGGAUGAAGGGAGCUUGCUCCUGGAUUCAGCGGCGGACGGAUGAGUAAUGCCUAGGAAUCUGCCUGGUAGUGGGGGAUAACGUCCGGAAACGGGCGCUAAUACCGCAUACGUCCUGAGGGAGAAAGUGGGGGAUCUUCGGACCUCACGCUAUCAGAUGAGCCUAGGUCGGAUUAGCUAGUUGGUGGGGUAAAGGCCUACCAAGGCGACGAUCCGUAACUGGUCUGAGAGGAUGAUCAGUCACACUGGAACUGAGACACGGUCCAGACUCCUACGGGAGGCAGCAGUGGGGAAUAUUGGACAAUGGGCGAAAGCCUGGUCCAGCCAUGCCGCGUGUGUGAAGAAGGUCUUCGGAUUGUAAAGCACUUUAAGUUGGGAGGAAGGGCAGUAAGUUAAUACCUUGCUGUUUUGACGUUACCAACAGAAUAAGCACCGGCUAACUUCGUG
This 484-nucleotide ribosomal RNA is filed under the name uncultured bacterium. RNAcentral's name for it is "partial 16S ribosomal RNA". It matches the Rfam family "Bacterial small subunit ribosomal RNA", at positions 30 to 507 of the family's 1533-position model. The record is from RNAcentral.